GGCGAUUCUCAGGUGAGGUACCCCAGAACUGGGCUCCCUCCUCUCUGGUUCCAGGUGUGUCACCCAAGAACCACA
This is a non-coding RNA of Myotis davidii, 75 nucleotides long. NCBI's taxonomy places the organism in Eukaryota, Metazoa, Chordata, Mammalia, Chiroptera, Vespertilionidae. The record is from Rfam.